This is a long non-coding RNA of Trachemys scripta elegans, 1064 nucleotides long. RefSeq lists it as uncharacterized. NCBI's taxonomy places the organism in Eukaryota, Metazoa, Chordata, Testudines, Emydidae. The record is from RefSeq and is a predicted model, not a curated record. The transcript is spliced from 5 exons.
GUCGCGGUGGGUGAGGCCGCUCACGGGGGUGCCGUUCACCUCCAGCAGCACGUCCCCGGGGCUAGGGGGCUUGCCGGAGAGCAGCACCGGGCCGGGCCCGCCGAGCUCGCCCAGCAGCAGGCGGCCCCCCAGGUACCCAUAAGGACAUGGCAACAUUUCAGCACCAACAGCCUUUAUUCAAGACUAAUGUUCUCAACAAACCUGUCUCUUUAGGGUUCCCGUAUCUUAUACUUCAUGCAUUCUACAGGAACUGAAUUCAGGAAAGCUAUACUACUGUAAUGAAAACUUUGAAGUCUAUUCAGAGAACUGGCUGACAAAUUUAAUUCUAAUUUAUACCAUGCUGACAUUAAAAAGAAGAUGAACUAAGAUUACUUGUCAAAAUGAAUGAAGGAGAAGCCCAAGCAAAUACCCCUCAGCCAUUCAUUCUGGGCCACACAUUAAAUGUCUGAAAUUUGACGAGAUGAUAAGAUACUUUUGGAAGCUGAUAGAUACCAAGCAAAGAUAAAGGCCCAGUCAGCCAAUGAACUCCUGAAGCCAAGGUGGACAUAAAGGCACGUGUAGAAGCCACGUGACUUAAAAUAUGGUCAAAAUGUGUUCAAGUAAUUCAUAUUUGUGAUGUAGAUGAGGCACCUUUCUCCAGGGAGGCACGUCAGUCUACCAGACAGGACACUGGACUUGGACUCGGACUCAGGAAGGCUGGAUUCAACUCCUUGCUCAGUGCUAUGCUUCCUAUCUUGCAGGGCAAAAAUGCAGCUGGAAACCUACGGCAGCUCACUGAUUGAGGGGAGUUUCCAUUAAAAGCGGCAAAGGUAAAUGAAUGGAGGAGGGAAGAUUCGAAAUGAAGAUGUAGGAUGUCUGUGUAGGUUCCACCACAGUGUUUGGCUGAGCAAUGAACCUUCUUUAGACAUAGGAUUUACCCUAGUAAUUCGGAUCUGUUCGAUCCACAAUCCAGAAGUAGCUUUGCAGCUUAUCGAGUGGGAUUUUCCAUUCUUAGACUUGCAUCCUUUCUCCAGCUAAAUUGCCCCAUGUACUUUUUAUUUUAAAAAUAAUGAUGCUAAUGACAA